GACGAACGCUGGCGGCGUGCUUAACACAUGCAAGUCGAACGGAAAGGGACUGAGUUUGCUGCGUGCUCAAGUGGCGCAAGGGUGUGUAUAACACGUGAGACAUGCGCUCCACUCUGGGAUAUAAUCAGUAAACACGGGCUAUUAUCCGAUAUGCGACCCUGCUGCAUGUCGUGGGUUCGUAAGAAUCGCCGGUUGGGGAUGGACUCGCGGCUUAUCAGCUUGUUGGUGGGGUAUCGGCUUACCAAGGCUCUGACGGGUAGCCGGCCUGAGAGGGUGACCGGCCACAUUGGGACUGAGACACGGCCCAGACUCCUACGGGAGGCAGCAGUGGGGAAUAUUGCACAAUGGGCGGAAGCCUGAUGCAGCAACGCCGCGUGAGGGAUGACGGCCUUCGGGUUGUAAACCGCUUUCGCCAGGGAAGAAGCGUGAGUGACGGUAAUGGGUAAAGAAGCACCGGCUAACUACGUG
This 468-nucleotide ribosomal RNA is filed under the name uncultured bacterium. RNAcentral's name for it is "partial 16S ribosomal RNA". It matches the Rfam family "Bacterial small subunit ribosomal RNA", at positions 28 to 507 of the family's 1533-position model. The record is from RNAcentral.